GAUGGACGCUGGCGGCGUGCCUAAUACAUGCAAGUCGAGCGAACGGACGAGAAGCUUGCUUCUCUGAUGUUAGCGGCGGACGGGUGAGUAACACGUGGAUAACCUACCUAUAAGACUGGGAUAACUUCGGGAAACCGGAGCUAAUACCGGAUAAUAUUUUGAACCGCAUGGUUCAAAAGUGAAAGACGGUCUUGCUGUCACUUAUAGAUGGAUCCGCGCUGCAUUAGCUAGUUGGUAAGGUAACUGCUUACCAAGGCAACGAUGCAUAGCCGACCUGAGAGGGUGAUCGGCCACACUGGAACUGAGACACGGUCCAGACUCCUACGGGAGGCAGCAGUAGGGAAUCUUCCGCAAUGGGCGAAAGCCUGACGGAGCAACGCCGCGUGAGUGAUGAAGGUCUUCGGAUCGUAAAACUCUGUUAUUAGGGAAGAACAUAUGUGUAAGUAACUGUGCACAUCUUGACGGUACCUAAUCAGAAAGCCACGGCUAACUACGUG
This 497-nucleotide ribosomal RNA is filed under the name uncultured bacterium. RNAcentral's name for it is "partial 16S ribosomal RNA". It matches the Rfam family "Bacterial small subunit ribosomal RNA", at positions 28 to 507 of the family's 1533-position model. The record is from RNAcentral.